RNAcentral lists this ribosomal RNA (894 nucleotides) under Triticum aestivum (bread wheat). Its description in RNAcentral is "partial small subunit ribosomal RNA". The record is from RNAcentral. Lineage: Eukaryota; Viridiplantae; Streptophyta; Magnoliopsida; Poales; Poaceae.
AUGGCAGCUGAAACAGAUCACCACCGACGCGCUGAUCACGUCGUGCUGUUCCCGUUCAUGGCGCAGGGCCACCUCGCGCCGUUCCGCUGCCUCGCCGCCCUCGUGCGCCGCUGCCGGCCGGACGCCCGGGUCACCUUCGUCGCCACCUCCUGCACGGCCGAAUCCCUCCGCGCCCACCUCGACGACGAAGGCAUCGCCGUCCACGCCAUCCCCUUCAGCCCCGCCAACGCCAGCGUACGCUCCUUCCAGCGGCUCAUCGACCUCUUCCUCGCCUCCGAGUCCCUCCGUCCGGCGUUCCACCAGUUCAUCGUGGAACUCAGACGCUCCGACCCCCUCGCCGACGUGCACGUCGUGGCGGACAUGUUCCUGGCCUGGACGGUGGACGUCGCCCGCGGCGACCCCGGCGUCACGCACUCCGUCCUGCUCACCAGCAGCGGCUACGGCUCGGCGCUCUACUUCUCGCUCUGGAACAGCGUCCCGCUUGUCCCCAACGACGAGGAUGACGAAUGCUUCAUCCUCCCGAGCUUCCCGGACAUCAGCGUCCACCGUUCGCAGCUCACCGAUCACCUCGCGGCGGCCGACGGCUGCGACGCGCGGUCCACCUUCAUCCGCAGGCAGAUCGCCGCCUUCUCACGUGCCGACGCGCUGCUCGUGAACACCGCCGAGAAGCUGGAGCCAAAGGGAUUAAGCAUGCUUAGGCAAUGGCUCCACAAUGUCCCGAUAUUCCCGGUCAGGCCGCUGCUCCGGGCAGCAAGAUCGGCAUUGCCGGAGAAGGCGACAACGACUAGCCCCAUCUUGGCUUGGCUCGGCAAGCAACCCCCAGGCUCGGUGCUGUACGUGUCGUUCGGGUCGCUGUACACGAUCUCCACGUCGCAGGCGACGGAGCUGGCAAUG